UACGGAGGGGCAAGCGUUGUUCGGAAUUACUGGGCGUAAAGGGCGCGCAGGCGGCUGCUCAAGUCAGGCGUGAAAGGCCUGGGCUCAACCCGGGAAUUGCGCUUGAGACUGGGCUGGCUUGAGUGCGGGAGAGGAUGGUGGAAUUCCCAGUGUAGAGGUGAAAUUCGUAGAUAUUGGGAAGAACACCGGUGGCGAAGGCGGCUCUCUGGACCGAGACUGACGCUGAGGCGCGAAAGCGUGGGGAGCAAACAGGG
This 254-nucleotide ribosomal RNA is filed under the name uncultured bacterium. RNAcentral's name for it is "partial 16S ribosomal RNA". It matches the Rfam family "Bacterial small subunit ribosomal RNA", at positions 524 to 777 of the family's 1533-position model. The record is from RNAcentral.